Molecule: ribosomal RNA, 408 nt
Filed under: uncultured bacterium
Lineage: Bacteria
Description: partial 16S ribosomal RNA
Rfam family: Bacterial small subunit ribosomal RNA
Source: RNAcentral
GACGAACGCUGGCGGCGUGCUUAACACAUGCAAGUCGAACGAAGUGGCGAACGGGUGAGUAACGCGUAAUCAACCUGCCCUUCAGAGGGGGAAAACAGUUUGAAACGACUGCUAAUACCGCAUACUGAAGGAGGGGCUUGCGUCUGAUUAGGUAGUGGGAGGGGUAAAGGCCCACCAAGGCGAUGAUCAGUAGCCGGUCGUGGAGGAUGAACGGCCACAAUGGGACUGAGACACGGCCCAGACUCCUACGGGAGGCAGGAGUGGGGAAUCUUCCGCAAUGGACGAAAGGCUGAAGGGGCAACGCCGCGGGGGUGAUGACGGCCUUCGGGUUGGAAAGCUCUGUUAGUCGGGACGCGGUACCGGAAUAGAAAGCCACGGCUAACUACGUGCCAGCAGCCGCGGUAAUUC